RNAcentral lists this ribosomal RNA (510 nucleotides) under uncultured bacterium. Its description in RNAcentral is "bacterial SSU rRNA". It matches the Rfam family "Bacterial small subunit ribosomal RNA", at positions 28 to 528 of the family's 1533-position model. The record is from RNAcentral.
GACGAACGCUGGCGGCGUGGAUUAGGCAUGCAAGUCGAACGGUAUCAUCCUUUCGGGGGUGAGAGAGUGGCGAACUGGUGAGUAACACGUAGGUUAUCUACCCUCAAGACGGGGACAACCCAGGGAAACUUGGGCUAAUACCGGAUGUGAGCAACUUUUAGUUGUUUGAAAGGUGGCGUAAGCUGUCGCUUGGGGAUGAGCCUGCGUCCUAUUAGUUAGUUGGUGAGGUAACGGCUCACCUAGGCAAUGAUAGGUAGGCGGCCUUAACGGGUGGUCGCCCACACUGGGAUUGAGAUACGGCCCAGACUCCUACGGGAGGCAGCAGUCGAGAAUAGUCUACAAUGGUCGGAAGACUGAUAGUGCGACGCCGCGUGAACGAUGAAUCCCUUCGGGGUGUAAAGUUCUUUUAUAUGUGAGCAGUGCUUCUUAUAUUAAACAGUAUGGGGAGAGAGAUAUUAGCAUAUGAAUAAGCAACGGCUAACUCCGUGCCAGCAGCCGCGGUAAACUCGU